RNAcentral lists this transfer RNA (539 nucleotides) under uncultured cyanobacterium. RNAcentral's name for it is "partial 16S-23S ribosomal RNA intergenic spacer". The stretch from base 212 to 284 matches the Rfam family "tRNA". Lineage: Bacteria; Bacillati; Cyanobacteriota. The record is from RNAcentral.
CAGGGAGACAACAAAAUGUUUAAUAUUAUUAUUUUGUCACCUUAGGUCGAUCGGUAUCUCACGUUCUUAAUUUAUUAAGAAUUUCAUUUCCUAAGUUUUUCUAGGUCACACCCAUUAUUUUUCCUGGGCCAUUAGCUCAGGUGGUUAGAGCGCACCCCUGAUAAGGGUGAGGUCCCUGGUUCAAGUCCAGGAUGGCCCAUAUCUCUAUGUUGGGGGUAUAGCUCAGUUGGUAGAGCGCCUGCUUUGCAAGCAGGAUGUCAGCGGUUCGAGUCCGCUUACCUCCACUGAUUACCACCUCUUCCAUAAUCUGUAGAAAGGAAAAUUUUUGAGUUGUGAUCAUAAAUCUGAACGAAUCUAGCUUCCUAAUGAAAUAUUAAGAUGCUGGACUCAUUGAAUUAAUUUCAUUGUUUUCAGAGAACCUUGACAACUGCAUAGAUUAUUUUUAAAGACAAUAAGCAUCUUUAUGAUGCAGAUUUAUUAUUUGUGCGAAUGCAUUAAUAACAAUUCUAUUAAGCUGAUGCUUCAAUUUUGAAGUUAUU